UCCAGGUUAGCUCAGUUGGCAGAGCGCUCCACAUGAAAUAGAAAGGUCCCUGGUUCGAUACCAAGACCAGGCG
This 73-nucleotide transfer RNA is filed under the name Ixodes scapularis (black-legged tick). RNAcentral's name for it is "tRNA-Ser". The record is from RNAcentral. Lineage: Eukaryota; Metazoa; Arthropoda; Arachnida; Ixodida; Ixodidae.